Molecule: ribosomal RNA, 316 nt
Filed under: uncultured bacterium
Lineage: Bacteria
Description: bacterial SSU rRNA
Rfam family: Bacterial small subunit ribosomal RNA
Source: RNAcentral
UAGUGAGUUUGAUCCUGGCUCAGGAUGAACGCUAGCGGCAGGCCUAAUACAUGCAAGUCGAACGGAUGUCAGCAAUGGCAUUAGUGGCGCACGGGUGCGUAACGCGUGGGAACCUGCCUUAGGUUCGGAAUAACAGUGAGAAAUUACUGCUAAUACCGCAUAACCCAACAACACGGCAUCGUGUAGUUGGUAAAGAUUUAUUGGUUUCGGAUGGGGUUGCGUGACAUUAGCUAGUUGGUGGGGUAAUGGCCCACCGAAGGCGACGAUGCAUAGCCGACCUGAGAGGGUGAUCGGCCACACUGGGACUGAGACACGG